AUUGCCUCAGUAACGGCGAGUGAAGCGGCAACAGCUCAAAUUUGAAAUCUGGCUCCCCCCGGGCGUCCGAGUUGUAAUUUGAAGAGGGUGCUUUGGUGUCGGCGGCGGUCUAAGUCCCUUGGAACAGGGCAUCGCAGAGGGUGAGAAUCCCGUAUGUGGCCGCCAGCCUUCGCCGUGUAAAGCCCCUUCGACGAGUCGAGUUGUUUGGGAAUGCAGCUCUAAAUGGGAGGUAAAUAUCUUCUAAAGCUAAAUACCGGCCAGAGACCGAUAGCGCACAAGUAGAGUGAUCGAAAGAUGAAAAGCACUUUGGAAAGAGAGUCAAACAGCACGUGAAAUUGUUGAAAGGGAAGCGCUUGCAGCCAGACUUGCUCGCAGUUGCUCAUCCGGGCUCCCGCCCGGUGCACUCUUCUGCGGGCAGGCCAGCAUCAGUUUGGGCAGCCGGAUAAAGACCUCUGUCACGUAUCUUCCUUCGGGAUGACCUUAUAGGGGAGGUGCAAUGCGGCUAGCCUGGACUGAGGUCCGCGCUUCUGCUAGGAUGCUGGCGUAAUGGCUGUAAGCGGCCCGUCUUGAAACACGGACCAAGGAGUCUAACAUCUAUGCGAGUGUUUGGGUGUCAAGCCCGGGCGCGCAAUGAAAGUGAACGGAGGUGGGAACCCUCUCGGGGGCGCACCAUCGACCGAUCCUGAUGUCUUCGGAUGGAUUUGAGUAGGAGCAUAGCUGUUGGGACCCGAAAGAUGGUGAACUAUGCUUGAAUAGGGUGAAGCCAGAGGAAACUCUGGUGGAGGCUCGCAGCGGUUCUGACGUGCAAAUCGAUCGUCAAAUUUGGGCAUAGGGGCGAAAGACUAAUCGAACUAUCUAGUAGCUGGUUCCUGCCGAAGUUUCCC
This 884-nucleotide ribosomal RNA is filed under the name Lonicericola fuyuanensis. Its description in RNAcentral is "Lonicericola sp. EYW-2020a partial large subunit ribosomal RNA". It matches the Rfam family "Eukaryotic large subunit ribosomal RNA", at positions 74 to 972 of the family's 3401-position model. The record is from RNAcentral. Lineage: Eukaryota; Fungi; Ascomycota; Dothideomycetes; Pleosporales; Parabambusicolaceae.